UACAGAGGGGGCAAGCGUUGUUCGGAAUUACUGGGCGUAAAGGGCUCGUAGGUGGCCAACUAAGUCAGACGUGAAAUCCCUCGGCUUAACCGGGGAACUGCGCCUGAUACUGGAUGGCUUGAGUCCGGGAGAGGGAUGCGGAAUUCCAGGUGUAGCGGUGAAAUGCGUAGAUAUCUGGAGGAACACCGGUGGCGAAGGCGGCAUCCUGGACCGGUAUUGACGCUGAGGCGCGAAAGCCAGGGGAGCAAACGGG
Molecule: ribosomal RNA, 253 nt
Filed under: uncultured bacterium
Lineage: Bacteria
Description: partial 16S ribosomal RNA
Rfam family: Bacterial small subunit ribosomal RNA
Source: RNAcentral